UCCAGUUCCCCUUUCUCUCUCUAAACUCAUCUCCAUUUUCUCCUUCUUGCUCUGUCUUCUCUCUACCCUUGCACUCAUUUGAACCGUUGAAAUUUCAAAUAGGUGGUGUUCUUUCGCUCACGGAGUUGAGAGCUUCCCUUCUAUCCGAUUAUAUUUCUAUUUGGACGGGUGAUUGUAGGGCACUGUUUGGGUUUUCUCUGUGAAGACACAUUUAGGGCACUCUAGUUGACUAUACUACUCAACCUCAAGAAAGUAUAUGAUUACAAAGUGAUGAAAGUAUGAUCCAAGUUGUAAAUCAAGUUCCAUCUAUGUAGGAUCUCUUGGUGAGAUCCUUAGUGUAGAAUGAUUGCAUGGUAGCUCAGUUUUGGGGGUUUUCUUGACGCUCCAAUGGUCUUUCAUUCUCAAGUAGAGAGGAUUGAUCCAUGUGGUGAGGAGUAGCAGGAGGUCCUAGUCUUGGAGGCUUCCAACAUGCUCCAGGGCGCGGAACGGAUUAACCUCGUGAGUGUGGUAGGGUGGAACCCAUUGGCAACGGCUUUGCAAAGCAGUAGAGGCCAUCACGAGUGCAUAACCCGCCAUAGCUCGACAAUCAUUCUGGUCCGGACGAGUUGGUCUAUAAAACAAUGAGUCUUAUGAUGUCAAUGUAUCAUGUUUGAGUGGCUUUUACAUGUCGUGUGUGAUUGAAUAACAUGAUUUUUAUAUCUAGCUCACCCUUGCUUGUUUGUAUUGCUUGUGUAUGUUUCUUCUUGCGAUAAUCAUCCAUUUGGAUGGGAGCAGAUGACGAGAAGGUUCCAUUGGAGAUGGCUUUGGAUGUUGAGGACAAUGCUACCGCCUAGUCUCUGGUGGUGUUAUUAGUUAUUCCUGAAAUUUGGGAUAUUGUUUUUCCUUCCAACUUAUAUUUAGAUUUUUUUGGAGUUUAAGUUUAAAUUCUGAAGCUAUUUUUAGGAUGACUGUAAUCCUAUUUACUCUUAACUGCUUUACUAUAUUACGCAUGAUAACGUCCUUAAUAUAUAUGCAUUGGGA
This is a long non-coding RNA of Vigna angularis (adzuki bean), 1020 nucleotides long. RefSeq lists it as uncharacterized. NCBI's taxonomy places the organism in Eukaryota, Viridiplantae, Streptophyta, Magnoliopsida, Fabales, Fabaceae. The record is from RefSeq and is a predicted model, not a curated record. The transcript has 3 exons.